CCUACGGGCGGCUGCAGUGGGGAAUAUUGGGCAAUGGAGGAAACUCUGACCCAGCAACGCCGCGUGAAUGAUGAAGGUCUUCGGAUUGUAAAGUUCUUUUCUCAGGGAAGAAGAAAGUGACGGUACCUUAGGAAUAAGCCUCGGCUAACUACGUGCCAGCAGCCGCGGUAAUACGUGGGAGGCGAGCGUUAUCCGGAAUGACUGGGCGUAAAGGGUGCGAAGGUGGUUUGGCAAGUUAGUAGCGUAACUCCAAGGCUCAACCUUGGAACUACUACUAAAACUGUUGGACUUGAGUGUAGGAGGGGCAACCGGAAUUCCUAGUGUAGCGGUGGAAUGCGUAGAUAUUAGGAGGAACACCAGUGGCGAAGGCGGGUUGCUGGACUGUAACUGACACUGAGGCACGAAAGCGUGGGGAGCAAACAGGAUUAGAUACCCUAGUAGUC
RNAcentral lists this ribosomal RNA (443 nucleotides) under uncultured bacterium. RNAcentral describes it as "partial 16S ribosomal RNA". It matches the Rfam family "Bacterial small subunit ribosomal RNA", at positions 338 to 795 of the family's 1533-position model. The record is from RNAcentral.